Long non-coding RNA from Aegilops tauschii subsp. strangulata, 2833 nucleotides. RefSeq lists it as uncharacterized. Lineage: Eukaryota; Viridiplantae; Streptophyta; Magnoliopsida; Poales; Poaceae. The record is from RefSeq and is a predicted model, not a curated record.
CGUCCAACCUUCUUUCGCACCCGUGCAGUCUGCGACGCGCGGUUGUGGGGUGGCGCAGGCGUGCCGCCGCCGCGGCCAGGAAGCCGCGUCCGGCGCCCCCGAACUGCCGCCCUCGUCUGUUUGCACCGUGUCCCUUGUCUCACCUCCCUACGCGGCCACUAAACGCCGUCGCCACGAAGUUCCGUCGCCUCCGCUCGGAGACCGCUUCCGGAAGAUAGGCAGAGAUUUGUCAUUGCGGGGGCUUCGCCACGCCCCCCGGGUGCAGGACAACUGGUCUAUUUGGAGAUUCGUCGACUACAUCGCUGGAAUUUUCUCCAUCUUUACCAACUCCGGUCGCCAUCAAAUCCAUCCGACGGAGUCGAAGACACACGUCCUCUCUCAAUCCCAUCAUGUGAUCCAUGUGAAUUAGUUGUUGGGCUCUGCAACUACAUCAUGUCGAUCGGUGAUGCUGGGUGUUUGGAGAAGGAAUGGGUGCGAAGUUCGACACCCCAUCCAAUGGGCUUAAGUGUGAGAAAACUUCAGGGCAUACCUAACAUAGAGCAGUCUAUGGGCAAUGAUUGUUUCAACAUGGCCGUGUGUAUACUGGCAUGCGAUGAGGUCUUAUUGUCCAUAGUCCAUCCUAUACACUUCAUGGAUAUACAAUUUUGUUCCAUGAUGUUAGGAUUCAACACGAGAUAUAAAGUUUCACGUGAAGCCAAAUAUCCAGAUGCUGGGAACACUGUUUGAUAGUUGGCCUAGGGUAGACAAUAACAUCUCAUCGUGCAACUAGGUGCUAUGUGAUUGGCUCAAGAUGAUUCAGCUAUCAUCAUAUUUUCUAGAAUGGUGUGUAGUAUAGAAAUGUGCCGACAGUUAACUUGCAGCUUCGAUCUGCCCUUGGGUGAUACAAUUAACCAGUUACGGUCAUGGAAAGCAGAAUUACGCUGAAGCAGCUGUGUGGCGAUGGAGGAUUUCCCAUGGCUGCAAGCUGAGAAGGGGUCCGAUUCUGGGAGAAUCUUGCAAAAGAACUGGCCCAUGAUCCUUUUACACAUUGAUAUGCUGACGUGAUAGUGAUUACAUGAUCCGGGAACUAAGAUGAUUGACAGCUCUGGAGCACACAUCUGAUCAGCAGAGCAUACAGGUGCAACCGUGCAAGCACACUGUGACCAAAUACUGCUCCAUUUGGAGCUGGAUGCAAAGGUGUAAGUGGAGCAAAACGAGGAUCCAAGAAGGGCUUUAGUGGAGCGUCAGAGGCCAAGGCGAGGCUACAUCUCAUAAUGAGCUCGACCUUUUCACCCAGGGGCGCGCUCGGCUGGCCCAUUACCUUUGUUCUAGACGUGGCUUCCGGAGUUUUUCUCUCAGAUUUUUUUUGGUUUUUUUACUUUCCUUUGGUUUUCUUCCCGUUUCUCUUUUCUUUCUGUUUUCUUUUGGUUUUAUAGUAUUUUUCUUUUUCCUCUUUCCCUUUAAAUUCAUAAACAUAACUAUUAUGUACUCCCUUCGUUUUUAAAUAUAAGUCUUUUUAGACAUUUCAAAUGGACUACAACAUACGGAUGUAUGUAGACAUAUUUUAGAGUGUAGAUUCACUCAUUUUGCUCCGUAUGUAGCCAUUUGUUGAAAUCUCUAAAAAGACUUAUAUUUGGGAACGGAAGGAGUAUACAUGAACACAUAUGAUGAACAUUUUGUAUCAUGUAUAUGUUUUUCUUUUAAAUCCAUGAUUUCUUGAAAAAAAUACGUCAACUUGUUUAAUACAUGAAUAUUUUUUAAACACGUGAUGAACAAUUUAUUGCACAUAUGAACAUUCUUAUGUACGUACAUGGACAUUCUUACGAACGUACAUGCAUGUUUUGACAACUUAUUUUUUUAUCACAUUAUACAAACAAAAAAAUCUCAGGGUUAAUGGCUCAAGCCAGGGUUGGCACAUAUAAGAGGGCCUUAUGGCGUUUGCCUUACUGUUCAAUGCAUAACACAUCAAAUAGGAGGACUCGAUAAGUGUCUCCAUCCAUGAAGGUGUAGCCCUUUGCUUGCCAAGUGAUCCUUUUCGCGGUUGCGUCGUCCUCUGGGUGAACAAGACAUUCUUCUUGAGGUAACCCUAGAUUUCUCAGGUCCAUGAAGGCUCUUGCAUAUGGUCAGGGAGUACAUGGUGUUUGUCGGGCGGCGUGAUCUACUCGGGGCUUCCCUCGGCGGGCAUCCAUGAAGUGGACCCCACCCAGUCGCCUUUGCCGGCGAGAGGGGACCUAUUCGCCCUGUUUGGGAAUUCAGAUGAGUGGGGGAGUGCUCCGCUCGGAAAAGGCUCUUCCCUAGUCACUGGCAUUCGGGUUGACUUGGAUCUCAGGGAUCUCAAGGGUGUCUGAUAAAUACCGGCGAACACGGCGUGCUCACCGGGUGGUGCCCUCCAAGCUGAGUGUGCUGCAGGAAGCGUCUCAUCGAAGUGAUCCGCAAACCUUGUCACUCAAACGAUGUAUGUAGAAAAAAACGCUACUUCUCUAAUAUAAGAGAGUCCAGAUCACUGCGUAGUAAAUAUGCAUUAGAGGGUGCACUGGUUUCUUUGGGACCGGCUACAGAUCAAUCAACUGAAAACAUAAUUUGGGUCAGUCGACUGACCCAAAGUUGUUUCAGUCGAUUGAGCCUGCCCUCGACGCACUUGCACCACACUUUUCAUUCUCGGAAACCUGGGCCAAGUCCCGACGAUGGCCUGCACAUCCAUACACUUCUUCCGUCACCCUGUGCCUUCUCAGCCAUCUGUUUCCAUCACACAUCCCUAAAAAAAAAAUCUGUUUCCAUCACACACACACACAUGUUAUCAGACACAUGCAUGGCUGUCUGAAUAAAUUGGGACGAACGUAGCAACAUAAAAAAA